GUUGCUGGAGUUCAGCUUAGGGAAGGAGGACUCUGAGGAGGCCCCGAGCGGCGGAGCGCUUCGGGGGAGGCGCCCGCGCAGACGCGAGGCCCAUAGCCAGGACCACCACCUAGCUGUUCUACAGUCUGGGGACGACGGUUUAAAAAUUUAUGCCUUGCAUGCGAUGUGCAGUGGGUGAUGGAAGAACGUCUACAUGGCUUUAAAAUUGGAUUUAAAAGGCAAAUAUUUUAAAUGAAGGAAAACCCAAGAAGUUUACUUGAUUCCUUAUCUUCCAGGAUGCGACUUUUGUUUAUUUAUUUAUUUUAUUUUGAUGGAGUCUCGCUGCCGUCGCGCAGGCUGGAGUGCAGUGACGCGAUCUUGACCCGGGAACCUCCACCUCCCGGGUUCAAGCGAUUCUCCUUCCUCAACCACCCGAGUAGCUGGGAUUACAGGCGUGUGCCACCAUGCCCGGCUAAUUUUUGUGUUUUUAGUAGAGACCGGGGAAGGUAUGGGCCCUCUUUUGAGAAAAAUGCAGAGUGACACUGAAUUUUGUAACUACAUCAGGAGGCUCUUGAACCUUCUGCAGCUCACUCGUGGAGUUUGUAGAGAUGCGUAAUAAUCCGAAGUGUUAAGGAAGAAGGUUCUGUUGAGAAAAAGUUGGAGGGCUGAAAGGGAUGCCUUUCGCUAUUUCGACAUGUGUGGCUGUACCCCAGAGUGCCCUGGCUAACACGCAAAACCAUGAAUUAGGCGGCUUGGCGAGGCUCAGUGGAGGCUGGGGCCGAGAGUCAUGUCAAAGUUUGUGGGGUUAACCUGCACCCAGUGACAGUCAUGGCGAAGUUUGUGAGGUUAACUCGCACCCAGUAACGCUGUUCCAAUGCAAGGUGUGUAUUUGGUGUCAUCCACGGGAAGAGGAAACAGCAAAUUUUCUCAUGGCCUUGGCAGUUCCACAUGAUGGACAUUUCAUAUCUGCAGUUUUCUUCGCAUGAGAUGGCUUUUUUGCACAAAAACACUGGAAUCCAGUGAGCAAGAAUGAUAGAAUGCAAGAUGGAUUUCCACAUGAGGAAGUGUCACGAACAAGCGUUUUGCAUCUCUGUCAGCUGGAUUCCCCCAUGUGUACGUAUGUGAGAACAUGCCGUGUUUCCUGUCUGUAAUGGUAGAGGCAGCCCUGAUACUGGAUUUUCACCUGAGGAUGGAUAGAUCUUCAGGGUUCAAGUGGGUUUGCAUCUGGACUUUAGGGUGGCCCUGUAGGCCCUGUGUGAGAAGCCCCCUUCCCAGUGAACUUUCCCUUGUGUGCCCGCGUGGACAGCCAACAGGGGGAGCAGUGCGAGCGUGAAGGCAGACAGUGGCCUGGCCCAGUCUGAUGGUGCAGAAGCUGAGCUGCAGAGGCGUUAGGUACCUGCCUCAUAAGUGGUAGAGACUCCAGUGUCACCCUGCCCCUCACGUUCGGAGCCCCCGAGGGAGGGUCUGCCGGGCAGCUCAGCCCAGCACUCUGUAAGGAAAUCUUCAGUGCCACUGCCCAGGAUGUCUUCCCGGGGAUUGGGCCUGAAUGUCUUGACCAUGCCGUGCUGGAGGGAGAGACCCACCGACCCUGUGGGGCUGGUCCCUACAUCUGGCGCUCUGACGUGGGGCUCUCCCUCGCUGUGUGAAGUUGCACCCUGAGUGCGGGAUCAGCGGAGGAGUUCAACGAGAGAUUCCUGAGGAUUGCAGUCUAUAAACUUGGUGGGGUUUUGUUUGUGUUUCCCCAGGAAAAGAACUACAGCCUGUGUGGGUCCCCUCCCGACAAUUAAAAUUGCACCAUAACUCCAAAGAUGAAACGCUCCCAGAAAGAAAAGGCAAAGACCCAUCGGAAACAAAAGAGCAACUUUCACCGCCUGAUACAUACACUUCAUGACAUCCACAUUGAGACAAAAUCUCGCCGUGUGACCUACAACACCUCUCGUUCAACCCCACCUACUUGGGGUCGAAUACAGAUUUUAUCUCAUCAAACAGAAAAAUUCUUAACAGAAAAAGGAAUCCCAAAAAUGACUGGUAAUAUAAUUCUGGCUGCCUUUAUGGUAGUCAGUGCAGCGGUAAGUAUACCACCGGUCGGGGCAACUCAAAAUUAUACUUAUUGGGCAUAUGUUCCUUUUCCCCUUCUAAUUCGGUCUGUCUCCUGGAGGGACUCUCCAGUAGAAGUUUACACUAAUAAUAGUGCAUUCAUGCCGAUCCCUAAUGAUGAUCGGUUUCCAGCUCAACCGGAAGAAGAAGGUAUGCACUUUAAUCUGUCAAUUGGCUAUAAAUAUCCACCAUUAUGUAUUGGGAAGUCGCCUGGUUGUUUAGCUUAUUCUUAACAGAAUUGGAUGUGGACUGUACCGUCCUUUACAAAUGAUUCUUAUCAAGUAUAUAAUGUGUUCAGUACUAACUCUUUUCAACUUCUCACUGUCAAACGUACCCCACAUGAGGCAUGGAGAGUUCCUCUCACUACCAAAACUAAUAAAACAAAAGGACUGCCGGACUGUCCAAAGAAACCUACAAAUGGGCCUUUUAUAGUGACUUCAAUUUUAUGGGAUAAUUGUAAUGCUCCCAAGGCUGUUGUACUCCAAACUCUAGCCAUGGGUAUUGUUAUUGAUUGGGCUCCAAAAGGACAUUAUUGGCAAGAUUGCUCCAGCAAAAAUACCUUAUGCUCGGAGUUUAUUUAUUCCUUAGAUUAUAUAGAGCAUGGGUGGCAGUCUUACACGAUGAGACAACGGGUGUCUCCUUACCCAUUUAAAUGGAUGGACACAGGUAUUGCUCCUCCUAGACCAAAAAUUAUUCAUCCCUUUUUUACCCCAGAACAUCCUGAACUAUGGAAAUUAGCUGCAGCUUUGUCGGGAAUAAAGAUAUGGAACACUACCUAUCAGCUCCUUCGUACUAAAACCAAAACACCCACAUUCAACAUCACCCUUAUUUCUGAAUGGGUGAUACCCAUUAGGAGCUGUGUCAAACCCCCUUACAUGCUGUUGGUUGGAAAUAUAAUUAUGAUGCCUGAUGCACAAACUAUAGAAUGUCAUAACUGUAAGCUGUUCACUUGCAUUGAUGCAACUUUUAAUCCCACUACAAGUAUUCUCUUGGUAAGGGCUAGGGAGGGGGUAUGGAUACCAGUUUCUCUACAUCGUCCAUGGGAGUCUUCCCCCUCUAUUCACAUAGUCAAUGAAGUUCUUAAAGACAUCCUCAAAAGAACAAAGAGAUUUAUUUUUACUCUUAUUGCAGUCCUUGCAGGACUACUUGCGGUUACUGCAACAGCAGCAACUGCUGGAGUUGCCAUCCGCAGUUCUGUUCAAACUGCUCACUAUGUUGAAGCAUGCCAGAAAAAUUCCUCCAGACUUUGGAAUUCUCAGGCGCAAAUUGAUCAAAAAUUAGCUAAUCAGAUUAAUGAUCUCCGCCAAAGUGUAACCUGGCUGGGAGAUAGAGUUAUGAACUUGCAACACCGUAUGCAAUUACAGUGUGAUUGGAAUACUUCUGAUUAUUGCAUAACGCCUUAUGCUUAUAAUCAAGAUCAACAUAGCUGGGAAAAUGUCUCAAGACAUUUAAAAGCCUGGGAUGAUAACUUAACCUUGGAUAUUUCACAACUUAAAGAGCAAAUCUUUGAGGCUUCACAAGCCCAUUUAUCCACAGUUCCUGGCUCACACAUUUUUGAAGGCAUAACUAAACAAUUACCUGAUUUUAAUCCCUUCAAAUGGCUCAAACCCGUCAGAGGAUCAUUGUUGUUACUGGCAUUAUUAAUAUUGGUAUGCUUAUGUUGUCUCCUUUUAGUCUGCAGAUGCCUCUAAGGAGUCCGAAACCAAGUCCGAAGUCAACAACAAGCAAUGAUGGCGAUGGCGAUUCUAGUUAAUAAAAAGGGGGGAGAUGUGGGCGGCAAGCCACCCAGGCACCGAGGCAAGAGACAGAGGACACGAGCUGUUCCAGUAUAAUAAAAUAUAAAACAAGAAUAGUUAUACCA
Molecule: long non-coding RNA, 3937 nt
Organism: Homo sapiens (human)
Lineage: Eukaryota; Metazoa; Chordata; Mammalia; Primates; Hominidae
Gene: ERVK13-1
Product: endogenous retrovirus group K13 member 1
Source: Ensembl